RNAcentral lists this transfer-messenger RNA (357 nucleotides) under Luteolibacter ambystomatis. Its description in RNAcentral is "Standard tmRNA". It matches the Rfam family "transfer-messenger RNA". From Rfam's summary of the family: Bacterial tmRNA, also known as 10Sa RNA or SsrA, is named for its dual tRNA and mRNA-like properties. Its role is to liberate the mRNA from a stalled ribosome. The record is from Rfam by way of RNAcentral. Lineage: Bacteria; Pseudomonadati; Verrucomicrobiota; Verrucomicrobiia; Verrucomicrobiales; Verrucomicrobiaceae.
GGGGGCGUUCCGGUUUCGACGGGAUGUUUGACGCGCUGGUCGCACGUGGAGGUUGAUCGGUUGGCCUCUUGAAAAGCCGAUCAAAACAAAUAAAUGCAGACUCUCACGAGCUCGCAUUGGCUGCUUAAUUGACAGUCACGUCCGAACCCUGAUGUCUGUUAAGGGCAAGGACGACACUCAACAGGCUGGGCUGGAAGCCGGGUAACCGGGCGUCCGGUCGAGAUCAAACAGGUUUCUAGGAAAGACAACGCUGUCCGCAGGCCCAGUCUCUCCGAAAUACCAGACCGCGGACUAAACGUGUAGAAGCCAGAGCUGAUGGCGUUUCGGACACGGGUUCGACUCCCGUCGCCUCCACCA